RNAcentral lists this ribosomal RNA (503 nucleotides) under uncultured bacterium. RNAcentral's name for it is "bacterial SSU rRNA". It matches the Rfam family "Bacterial small subunit ribosomal RNA", at positions 28 to 522 of the family's 1533-position model. The record is from RNAcentral.
GAUGAACGCUAGCGGCAGGCUUAAUACAUGCAAGUCGAGGGGCAGCAGGACUGUAGCAAUACAGUUGCUGGCGACCGGCAAACGGGUGCGGAACACGUACGCAACCUACCCAUAACUGAGGAAUAGCCCGGGGAAACCCGGAUUAAUACUUCGUAACAUAAUGAGACGGCAUCGUUUUAUUAUUAUAGCUCCGGCGGUUAUGGAUGGGCGUGCGCCUGAUUAGGUAGUUGGCGGAGUAAUAGCCCACCAAGCCUACGAUCAGUAACUGGUGUGAGAGCACGACCAGUCACACGGGCACUGAGACACGGGCCCGACUCCUACGGGAGGCAGCAGUAAGGAAUAUUGGUCAAUGGACGCAAGUCUGAACCAGCCAUGCCGCGUGAAGGAUGAAGGUCCUCUGGAUUGUAAACUUCUUUUAUGUGGGACGAAACCCUCGUUUUCUAACGGGAUUGACGGUACCAUAGGAAUAAGCACCGGCUAACUCCGUGACAGCAGCCGCUAGU